Meriones unguiculatus (Mongolian gerbil) is the source of this 509-nucleotide long non-coding RNA. RefSeq lists it as uncharacterized. NCBI's taxonomy places the organism in Eukaryota, Metazoa, Chordata, Mammalia, Rodentia, Muridae. The transcript has 3 exons. The record is from RefSeq and is a predicted model, not a curated record.
AACACCCGGGGACUCUGCUCCGGACUCCAAAGAGGAAUCGCUCUCUCUUAUCAUAGACCACAAGUCCGUCAGCAGGUAGAAUUGUGCAGCAAAAGGUGUGCAAGCAAAACUGCCAAUGAGGGUGGAAAUCACUGAGGGAUAAUGAUAAACCACAGAGAAGACAGAAGCUUGGCAGAUUUUCAUUCUAACCUGAUGCUCUGUGACCUCAUGAGCCACAUUAAAUGACUGAUGUUUCCCCACCAACAUAGAGAAGCAGCUGAUAGACUCCUCAGGUGACCUUCCAACCCCUCUAUACCGUUACAUUUCUGCAAAGUUCCUGUGAUUCAUUCUGGGGAAAAGCGAACACUCUCAGAGUCCACGAUGUCCUACAACCUCGGUUCCACCUGCUCGUUAUCCUGAAGCUUACAGGAAUGAAGAGACUGUCUGCUUAAUCAAAGGACCAGGAGCCCCUGCCAGGAGCUGUUGGCUCUGCACAUGAAAAAAAGGACUUUCUUACAUGGAAGGUCACU